This 253-nucleotide unclassified non-coding RNA is filed under the name uncultured delta proteobacterium. Its description in RNAcentral is "contains 16S-23S intergenic spacer region". It matches the Rfam family "Bacterial small subunit ribosomal RNA", at positions 524 to 776 of the family's 1533-position model. The record is from RNAcentral. Lineage: Bacteria; Deltaproteobacteria.
UACGGAGGGUGCAAGCGUUGUUCGGAAUUACUGGGCGUAAAGCGCGUGUAGGCGGCCCGGCAAGUCGGUUGUGAAAGCCCUGGGCUCAACCCAGGAACCGCAUCCGAAACUGCCGGGCUAGAGUCCCGGAGAGGAAGGCAGAAUUCCCAGUGUAGGGGUGAAAUCCGUAGAUAUUGGGAAGAAUACCAGAGGCGAAGGCGGCCUUCUGGACGGUGACUGACGCUGAGCCGCGAAAGCGUGGGGAGCAAACAGG